RNAcentral lists this ribosomal RNA (250 nucleotides) under uncultured bacterium. RNAcentral's name for it is "partial 16S ribosomal RNA". It matches the Rfam family "Bacterial small subunit ribosomal RNA", at positions 83 to 334 of the family's 1533-position model. The record is from RNAcentral.
CUAUGGUGGCGACCGGCGCACGGGUGCGUAACGCGUAUGCAACCUACCUUUAACAGGGGGAUAACACUGAGAAAUUGGUACUAAUUCCCCAUAACAUUCGAGAAGGCAUCUUCUUGGGUUAAAAACUCCGGUGGUUAAAGAUGGGCAUGCGUUGUAUUAGCUAGUUGGUGAGGUAACGGCUCACCAAGGCAACGAUACAUAGGGGGACUGAGAGGUUAACCCCCCACAUUGGUACUGAGACACGGACCAG